Molecule: long non-coding RNA, 343 nt
Filed under: Equus asinus (donkey)
Lineage: Eukaryota; Metazoa; Chordata; Mammalia; Perissodactyla; Equidae
Description: lncRNA (ENSEASG00005038278.1)
Source: RNAcentral
CUGCCAGCGCCUGGCUCGCCAGGAAGAGGUUCUUAAGAUAUUACGGUACCUACAGGGUUUCCCGGCCUCCGAGUGCCUCCUCUUCCACAGCCUCCCUCCGCCCAGCCCGCCCAAGUGCCGCUCUCAGGGGCGGAACGAUCGUCUCCUAAAAGCUUUGGGGGCUCGCUAAGGAGGAAAGAUGAUUCCUGAAACAUGACGAACACAUCCACAAAAUGGGAGCGAAAUACAUGGCUUGCCAAGCAGUGCCACGUCCGCACCUGGGAUCUGCACCAGGGAUCCGAACCAGCAAACCCCGGGCCUCUGAGAAGCAGAACGUGCAAACUUAACCACUGCGCCACCGGGC